GUCAUGCCACGCCCUCAAACGAGAAUACCGCGGUGUGAGACUUCCUGUUCCUCUUUACAGCGAUUCUUCGGCAGUUGGACACGUGUUUUCGUUGGAUUCUCUUCAAAUCAUCUAAAACAAAAAACAGUCCCACCUCCUCUUGAAGACAUUUAGCCUCCUGCUAUCGACUUCAGGUUCACAUUAGGGAACAGCAGAGGUCUAAGUGCAACAGGCUCGUGAUGCACAGCAUGAAGUUAUACGUUGCCCACGAGCCAGAUGCAGUUGGAAUAACCAUCAAGUAAUAACCAUGUAUGUUAAUGUGUUGUGCUUUUAAACAAACUGG
Long non-coding RNA from Trematomus bernacchii (emerald rockcod), 322 nucleotides. RefSeq lists it as uncharacterized. The record is from RefSeq and is a predicted model, not a curated record. Lineage: Eukaryota; Metazoa; Chordata; Actinopteri; Perciformes; Nototheniidae. The transcript is spliced from 3 exons.